Molecule: ribosomal RNA, 253 nt
Filed under: uncultured bacterium
Lineage: Bacteria
Description: partial 16S ribosomal RNA
Rfam family: Bacterial small subunit ribosomal RNA
Source: RNAcentral
UACGUAGGGUGCGAGCGUUAAUCGGAAUUACUGGGCGUAAAGCGUGCGCAGGCGGUCUUGUAAGCCAGAUGUGAAAUCCCCGGGCUUAACCUGGGAAUGGCAUUUGGGACUGCAAGGCUUGAGUGCGGCAGAGGAGACUGGAAUUCCCGGUGUAGCAGUGAAAUGCGUAGAUAUCGGGAGGAAUACCGAUGGCGAAGGCAGGUCUCUGGGCUGACACUGACGCUCAUGCACGAAAGCGUGGGGAGCAAACAGG